RNAcentral lists this ribosomal RNA (490 nucleotides) under uncultured bacterium. RNAcentral's name for it is "partial 16S ribosomal RNA". It matches the Rfam family "Bacterial small subunit ribosomal RNA", at positions 30 to 507 of the family's 1533-position model. The record is from RNAcentral.
AUUGAACGCUGGCGGCAGGCCUAACACAUGCAAGUCGAACGGUAACAGGAAGAAGCUUGCUUCUUUGCUGACGAGUGGCGGACGGGUGAGUAAUGUCUGGGAAACUGCCUGAUGGAGGGGGAUAACUACUGGAAACGGUAGCUAAUACCGCAUAACGUCGCAAGACCAAAGAGGGGGACCUUCGGGCCUCUUGCCAUCGGAUGUGCCCAGAUGGGAUUAGCUCGUAGGUGGGGUAACGGCUCACCUAGGCGACGAUCCCUAGCUGGUCUGAGAGGAUGACCAGCCACACUGGAACUGAGACACGGUCCAGACUCCUACGGGAGGCAGCAGUGGGGAAUAUUGCACAAUGGGCGCAAGCCUGAUGCAGCCAUGCCGCGUGUAUGAAGAAGGCCUUCGGGUUGUAAAGUACUUUCAGCGGGGAGGAAGGGAGUAAAGUUAAUACCUUUACUCAUUGACGUUACCCGCAGAAGAAGCACCGGCUAACUCCGUG